UGCAGUCGACGGCAGCACGGGGGCAACCCUGGUGGCGAGUGGCGAACGGGUGAGUAAUACAUCGGAACGUGCCCAGUCGUGGGGGAUAACGUAGCGAAAGCUACGCUAAUACCGCAUACGAACUCUGGUUGAAAGCGGGGGAUCGCAAGACCUCGCGCGAUUGGAGCGGCCGAUGGCAGAUUAGGUAGUUGGUGGGGUAAAGGCUCACCAAGCCGACGAUCCGUAGCUGGUCUGAGAGGACGACCAGCCACACUGGGACUGAGACACGGCCCAGACUCCUACGGGAGGCAGCAGUGGGGAAUUUUGGACAAUGGGCGCAAGCCUGAUCCAGCCAUUCCGCGUGCAGGAUGAAGGCCCUCGGGUUGUAAACUGCUUUUGGACGGAACGAAAAGGCCUUUUCUAAUACAGAGGGCUCAUGACGGUACCGUCAGAAUAAGCACCGGCUAACUACGUGCCAGCAGCCGCGGUAAUACGUAGGGUGCAAGCGUUAAUCGGAAUUACUGGGCGUAAAGCGUGCGCAGGCGGUUAUGUAAGACAGGUGUGAAAUCCCCGGGCUUAACCUGGGAACUGCAUUUGUGACUGCAUAGCUAGAGUACGGUAGAGGGGAUGGAAUUCC
Molecule: ribosomal RNA, 616 nt
Filed under: uncultured Curvibacter sp.
Lineage: Bacteria; Pseudomonadati; Pseudomonadota; Betaproteobacteria; Burkholderiales; Comamonadaceae
Description: bacterial SSU rRNA
Rfam family: Bacterial small subunit ribosomal RNA
Source: RNAcentral